Molecule: long non-coding RNA, 2074 nt
Organism: Lotus japonicus
Lineage: Eukaryota; Viridiplantae; Streptophyta; Magnoliopsida; Fabales; Fabaceae
Exons: 3
Source: RefSeq, a predicted model, not a curated record
CUUUUUUUAUACACUUCAUUUUCACCUAUUUUUAUUUCUAUCUCUCUCCUCUUAUCAUCUAUCACAUCUUAUACUUUCUCACUCUUACUUUUUCUUUUCUUCCUAUCUCUCUCUUCCUCCACCUUAUUCCACCUCAUUUUGAGGUGUGAAUAAAUAAUUAUUGCUUGCAUUUGGUAUCAUGUUUUUGCCCACUUGCAUGAUGUUGCCACCACCAUAUGGGGGCAUCAACAGUAAAAUACAUUCAGAACAGUCUCAUAGAUCUCAAGAUAUCUUCAAUUCAUGGGAAGAAAAAAAAUAUAAACUCAAUUUAAUUUUCUUUCACCUUUCAUUUACUUUUUAAGCACUUCUUUCCUAUUCAAGGGCCUUAUUUAGACAGAGGGAGAAAUUAAAAAAACACCAAACUUUGAUUAAAGUCUUGUGCCAUCUUCUUUAUUUUGAUUAGCUACUCAAGUGUAACGAAUGAGAGUCCUUUCACCUUUCAUACUUUCUUCUUCUGUUACCUUUUCCGCCCCUUUCUUCUUCUUUGAAAAACACAUUUUAAACCCCACAGGUAACGAUGAAGGUUAACCAUCAACAAUUGAAACGAAGUCUUUCUUCCAAUGAAAUAACCUCCAUCGCCCAUGACCAGCCACACCCCAUCGAGGCCAGUAGCACCAAGCUUCACCGCCACCACAACGCCUCGCCUCUGCCUACCGUGAAAAUCGUCGAAGGCGUAAACCUCCCGGAGAUUGUCGCUCUGCAUCGUCGGAGUCUUCUUCGAGGCUUACAUAAAUCCUCUCCUUUGGAUCUCGACAGACUUUUGGAGGCAUUGACAUUUUAAUUUCUUCAAAGCUUCUGUAUUCUGAGCAGUGCCCUGCUAUCUGCAAUUCCACUAUGCGAAACUUUCCACAUGUGGGUUUAAUCUCAUCUUUUUUAAGAAGUGCAACAUCAGUGGAUUUGUCCAGCAAUAGAUUUACAGUAGCUAAUGAGUUGUUAUGUGCUAAACUGGGUCUGAAUAGUAUCUGUUGAAGCUGAGGACUAGGCUGGAGGCUUACUGAAUAACUAGCACAACAUUCACUAUGGCCAUUUCAAAAAAUGAGAAGCCUAUUUGGCCUAUGAGGUUAUGAGUUGUGACAUUGAGUGUGUUCUUAACCUGCUUCUACUUUGCGGUUGCUCCUAUCAACUUCAUGACUUGGGGGGUGCUCUUGGCUUUUCUGAUAUUGAGCAGCAAAGUAACAAUGAAGAAAACUGUGCGUACAGAAGCUCAUGCUUCGAUAAACAAAUGCUGAAGUUCAAUGGAGAUUUUAUUUGCCAACCAUAUGGUUUGUGAUGGGAAAUGUUUGGGCAUUUGACUCACAUGUUCCAUGAAGCUCCAAAGCUCCACGUCUUCCACAUCGUCCUUCUUAACAUGUGAGGAAUUAAUUUGAGGGACUUUAUGUUGAUGCAAGCUGUAUAUGGUUGGGGUUAGUAGUUAUGGAGUAAGCGGAUGAAGCAGUAAAUAAGAAUGGUGAAAGGGCAGCCUCUAAGGCUCUAUUUAUCUGCACCUAAUAUUCAGAUGCAAUUAUAAAAUGGGGUAAUGGUUUCUUGGUGGUAUGAGAGAUGUUUCAAAUGUGGAAAAACCAAAGUAGGCUCCUUUCACAAAUUUAUUUGGAAUCAAAGCUGCGCUGUUGGAAUGCUACAAGCGCAAGGUGUAUGGAUUGCUAUUGCAUCCAUUAUUUGGGGAUUGAACCCUAAGAGAUGCACUUGGUCACUACAGUCCAGUCUACAGGAUUAACACAGGAUAUACUUCUAAUCGCAACAAUACGAUUGCAAGGUGUGCAUCCUCCUCUCAUCAUGUUAUUUAGGAAAAGGUUGUAAAACGACCUUUCGAGGAAAGAGGAAGAAAUUCAAAGGACCAAGGUAGCCGAUUAAUGUGUAGUGCUUCUGCAUAGAUCAAGACACAUUUUUUCAUUUUCACUUUGGGCUGAUGUUGGAGAGAACCAAUCGAAAGUUAAGAUGGAGAAUGUCUCUUAGAUGCUUUUGAUUCCAAGAGCUGCAUUGUUUGAAUAAAUGAAAAAUAUCUUAAUCAUAUCUCAAGACUCCAGUUUUUCGUUAA